This 269-nucleotide long non-coding RNA is filed under the name Monodelphis domestica (gray short-tailed opossum). Its description in RNAcentral is "lncRNA (ENSMODG00000041730.1)". The record is from RNAcentral. Lineage: Eukaryota; Metazoa; Chordata; Mammalia; Didelphimorphia; Didelphidae.
GCCUUUAGCCCAAGACCGGAAGUCAUUUCCCCGAUCUGCCGCUCCCUCCCCCCAUCAUACUCUGAAUUUUGACAUAUUUCUGUCUCCGCUAAGAGCAAGAACCAUUUUCAUCAUUUCUCUGGGAGAUUUGCUGGAGUCCGGAAGAGAUGCUCAGACCUCGAUGCCAAAGGCCUGGAGCUCCAGAGAUGGGCUCCAGCUUUUGGUUAAUCAAAUAGCAUUUAUAAAUCAUCUGCUAUGUUCCAGAGACAAUCACUUCCCAGUAAUUCCCA